RNAcentral lists this long non-coding RNA (1104 nucleotides) under Homo sapiens (human). Its description in RNAcentral is "HSALNT0007498". Lineage: Eukaryota; Metazoa; Chordata; Mammalia; Primates; Hominidae. The record is from RNAcentral.
UAGUAGAAUGUGUUGCCAGAUGGGGAAGAUAGGGAAAGAACAGAGAUAGGGUUGAAAUCAGGAGUUCAUUUUGGACACUAAGUUUGAAAUGCUGAAUAGACAUCUAAGCGUUGCUUGGGCAUUUAGGGUUCAGGCAUCAAGAUUUUGGAGAAGAAGAAAUUAAAUAUAAAAACAAACACUACUUUAAUGGCCAUUAGACUCAAUUCUACUCUCAGACAUCUUAGGCAAAAAUGAGGGGAAUGAAACAGAGUUCCACAUGAAAAUCUAAUUAAACUGCUGCCUUGUGAUUUUCCAUAAUUGUGAUAAGGCCUUUAAUUAGCUGGCUCUACAGAGCACCGGGCACUGGGAAACCCACAAGGCAAAUUACUGCUGUGCGCAUCUUGGGACGCAUGUCCUCACAUCUGAACAGCUCAGAGUCCUCAAGCACAUAAUUACCCUCUGAGAAAGCUUUCCAGGAUGAAUGGCAUUUGGGAAAGUUGGGAAGUUGGAGAACUGGAUUUUCAAUCCAAAAGAUACAAUGGAAAGAGUGAUCAGAAGAUCUGGCUUGGAGUCCUGGGCUCUUUACAUAAGGACCUGAUGAUAUGGGACAAGUCAUCUAAUAACCAUCCAUCCAUCCACCCACCUGCCUCUCAUCUGAAUAGACUAUCUCCAGGGUAGUUUCCUUUUUCUUGAAUCUCUAGCAUCUCUACACCAUAUGGUGCUUAUUGCCCAAGUGUGAUAACAGAGGAAACCACCUGGAACAUAGAAAUCUACAGAGCACAAAAGAAGGAAGCUGAAACACCUGAACCCACAGAUCAACCUCAACAGCACUCAAAAUUGGAUAAUCAGGACAAGAACGGGGGAAGAUGAUGAAUAGGAGACAGGGCUAAUGUGCAGCUCCCACAUGGAUGGACAGAACAGUGUGUGCAGACUCACACCAUGAUCUUUUGCUCCAAGAACUACCACAGGAACGUACCGGGAAAACCAAAGGAAUUCACAGAUUUUUUGAAAGAAGUUGCACACUGCUGCAAAUUCCAUGAAACAGGCAAAAAAAAACUGUGAGUUCCCAAAGUGUGAGAGGAGGCAAACCUACCUCCAAACACAUAUCCCCACUGGGGAAUCUGA